RNAcentral lists this ribosomal RNA (429 nucleotides) under Acidobacteriota bacterium. RNAcentral describes it as "Acidobacteria bacterium partial 16S ribosomal RNA". It matches the Rfam family "Bacterial small subunit ribosomal RNA", at positions 355 to 776 of the family's 1533-position model. Lineage: Bacteria; Pseudomonadati; Acidobacteriota. The record is from RNAcentral.
UGGGGAAUUUUGGACAAUGGGGGAAACCCUGAUCCAGCCAUCCCGCGUGUGCGAUGAAGGCCUUCGGGUUGUAAAGCACUUUUGGCAGGAAAGAAACGUCAUGGGUUAAUACCCCGUGAAACUGACGGUACCUGCAGAAUAAGCACCGGCUAACUACGUGCCAGCAGCCGCGGUAAUACGUAGGGUGCAAGCGUUAAUCGGAAUUACUGGGCGUAAAGCGUGCGCAGGCGGUUCGGAAAGAAAGAUGUGAAAUCCCAGAGCUCAACUUUGGAACUGCAUUUUUAACUACCGAGCUAGAGUGUGUCAGAGGGAGGUGGAAUUCCGAGUAUAGCAGUGAAAUGCGUAGAUAUGCGGAGGAACAACGAUGGCGAAGGCAGCCUCCUGGGAUAACACUGACGCUCAUGCACGAAAGCGUGGGGAGCAAACAGG